RNAcentral lists this long non-coding RNA (463 nucleotides) under Nicotiana benthamiana. RNAcentral's name for it is "long non-coding RNA (NBEN_LNC011181)". Lineage: Eukaryota; Viridiplantae; Streptophyta; Magnoliopsida; Solanales; Solanaceae. The record is from RNAcentral.
CGAUUCCAUAUCUAAAGCUCCAAUUGAGGUCUUGAAUUAAUAAUAAAGAAAUACUUAUUACUCGUAAUUAUUGUAGGAUGAGAUGUUUCCUCUUUAUGAUCAAGUGUAUCUGUACCCCACAAAUUUUUGUAGUACUAAAAAAAUAAGUUGCAACAAAAUUAAUAUAAAAAAAGAUAUUUUAUUGAUGAAUAAUUGUGAGCACAAUCUAUAUAUCCUUUGAUUAUACUCUUCCUAAAAUUCUUCGUGAUUCGAGGGCUUGAGAAGCAUCUUUCUCGAAUGUAGGAUGAUGCAAACCUCCUUGUGAUAUAUUUAAUUGCCAAGAACGUCGAGCAUUACUUCGUUGUUCUGGGUUGAUCUCCGGGAAGAACUCCGUUGUCACUUCUUUGUUGAAGAACUUUGCACUUGAUGAUUUCUCUUUCUGUUUGCGGAUGCUUUCACUAAAUGCGGAAUGAUCUCCUCCAAC